UACGCCGGGUGGCCGUUACGGCGGCCGCUAACGGCGCCGCUGCGCGAGCCGCCCUCACGUGACCCUCCACGCGACUACAAGGGGGCACCGCCUGACGGCAGCGGCCAUCUUUGACCCUGGCGGUCGACUUCUGGGCGGCCUCGCUACGGGGCGACCUGACUACARUUUCUAGUCUGUCUAAUCCAAGCUGAGCCGCUAAGCUAUCCUGUGAGAAAGGCGAAGCCGCUCCAUCCUGGCGAGCUAAGCCGGAGCUCAGUUUAAAGAUGACGACCUUUUCCCGCCCCCAAAUAGCCUCUGGCUCCCAGAGCCUGGGCCAGCUGUUGCCCAGGUUUCACAGGGCGCAUGCGCCCUGUGGACACUGGGCAGCUUCACCGCCAUGAUGAAACGGGGAAAACUGCCUCUUGCGCCUGCGCGCUGAAGAACUUGGGCAACCACRUCGCCAUGAUGAAAGGGGGUGGGGAUCGCCGCCUGCACCUGCGCAGUGAAGCGGGGGCCAAGUGGAGGCGCGGGAGGAGGGGGUUGUGCGGAGUGGGGUUACUCGUCUGCUCUCCUCGUGGUGGGCAGGUGCCCUGGUCCUUUGUACUUGCCUUGGGAUCGACCCUAGAAAGGUGUACUGGUACUUUUCCGUGGGUCUGUAAUCUAGAGCACCAUUUUUCUACGGAAGAAAAGGACCCCAAAUCAGUCUUGUGCAUUGUAGAGUAAUAGUGAUGCCUGUGUUCCUAAAGGAUACCCCGAUUCUAGAAGUCUGUCUACACRGAGCAUGGUUUGUAUAAAUUUAUGCUGGAACUUGCUUCAUUGAAUCACUUUCAGCAACUGACUUAACCUUCAAGUGUUUUGGUAUGUUUAAAGUCCUGCUUUCUGAAUAAGAAUGUACAWUUUUUUCAGAACAAUUCUGCCAGGUGAAGGUGAGUAAGUGAAAAUACUGGCUCAGAUGAAAGGUUCAUCUAUUCCAGUGUCCUGUCUUCAACUAUGAUCCAGAACAGGUGUCAAGGGAAAAGUUUAAGGCAGGGCAGUUUUUUUGUAGUGUCUACACAUUUAACCUCAGUAUCAUACCCUACUAUGACAUUCAAUAAAUCUAUGUGGGGAUAACA
RNAcentral lists this long non-coding RNA (1091 nucleotides) under Apteryx rowi (Okarito brown kiwi). RNAcentral describes it as "lncRNA (ENSARWG00000005560.1)". The record is from RNAcentral. Lineage: Eukaryota; Metazoa; Chordata; Aves; Apterygiformes; Apterygidae.